Lutra lutra (Eurasian river otter) is the source of this 722-nucleotide long non-coding RNA. RefSeq lists it as uncharacterized. The transcript is spliced from 4 exons. NCBI's taxonomy places the organism in Eukaryota, Metazoa, Chordata, Mammalia, Carnivora, Mustelidae. The record is from RefSeq and is a predicted model, not a curated record.
CUGAGAGAACUCGGUGGCCUUGAGCUCCUCUGGGCAGUGGCCAGGGAUGGGCCCCAUGAAGCCUCUCUGUAAACUCGAAGAUUCUUGUGGGCGCUGCGGAGACCUCGCUCACGGCCCGGGACCUCCGUGUCUGCAUUACUGUUGCCAGCUGUGGGCCACCCUACAGAGGCAGUGAGCCCACAAAUCUGUAUGACACGGGUACUGCCAAGAGGCCAGGCAUGUGACGUAGGCUGGGCCAACUAGACUCUACACCAGCGUUUUGGCCUUUCAACAAUGGAAGAAGAAAUGACUAGUCAGUGAUCCAAGAGAGUAGAAUUCAAGUCACCGUCGGAAACCACACAUAUAACUUUGAACUUUCUAAUAGCUACCAAAACAAGGUGUGGAAUCCAUACCAAAUGGGAAUUGCAGGGUGCGGGCCUUCUGGAAGAGAACAUGUUAGCAAAACUCAACAAAAGCAGUGAAAGCAGAACUAUCUGUUAAGAAAUGUGUGGAGCUGCCAGAAUCCUGCUGAGUGGCCCCUAACAUCUGGAACAGACAGCGGCAAAUGUGGGGAGUAAGAAAGUUAUUCUCCUGCUGUUCCUGGAAGAUAAAGUAAUGCUCAUUAAGGCUUGGAGUGAUGUCCAGGGAUUCAAUUCAACUGCUAGGGUACCGAUCUCCUAGAGAAGUCUUGCCUCGUGUUACUGUAAAGUCACGAGGUCCAGGUGCCGUCUAAAAUAGUCGGG